RNAcentral lists this ribosomal RNA (253 nucleotides) under uncultured bacterium. RNAcentral's name for it is "partial 16S ribosomal RNA". It matches the Rfam family "Bacterial small subunit ribosomal RNA", at positions 524 to 776 of the family's 1533-position model. The record is from RNAcentral.
UACGUAGGCAGCGAGCGUUGUUCGGAGUUACUGGGCGUAAAGGGUGUGUAGGCGGUCUUUUAAGUUUGGUGUGAAAUCUCCCGGCUUAACCGGGAGGGUGCGCCGAAUACUGAGGGACUAGAGUGCGGGAGAGGAAAGUGGAAUUCCUGGUGUAGCGGUGAAAUGCGUAGAUAUCAGGAGGAACACCUGUGGUGUAGACGGCUUUCUGGACCAUAGCUGACGCUGAGACACGAAAGCGUGGGUAGCAAACAGG